ACUCCUACGGGAGGCAGCAGUGGGGAAUAUUGCACAAUGGGGAAACCCUGAUGCAGCCAUGCCGCGUGUGUGAAGAAGGCCUUCGGUUGUAAAGCACUUUCAGUAGGGAGGAAGGUAGUGUAGUUAACACCUGCAUUAUUUGACGUUACCUACAGAAGAAGCACCGGCUAACUCCGUGCCAGCAGCCGCGGUAAUACGGAGGGGUGCGAGCGUUAAUCGGAAUUACUGGCGUAAAGCGCAUGCAGGCGGCCUGUUAAGUCAGAUGUGAAAGCCCGGGGGCUUAACCUCGGAAUUGCAUUUGAAACUGGCAGGCUAGAGUCUUGUAGAGGGGGUAGAAUUUCAGGUGUAGCGGUGAAAUGCGUAGAGAUCUGAAGGAAUACCAGUGGCGAAGGCGGCCCCCUGGACAAAGACUGACGCUCAGAUGCGAAAGCGUGGGGAGCAAACAGGAUUAGAUACCCUGGUAGACUGUCA
RNAcentral lists this ribosomal RNA (471 nucleotides) under uncultured bacterium. RNAcentral describes it as "bacterial SSU rRNA". It matches the Rfam family "Bacterial small subunit ribosomal RNA", at positions 335 to 802 of the family's 1533-position model. The record is from RNAcentral.